CGCCCGCGGGCGCUGACCGAGCGGGGCCGGGGACGCGCCUCCGCCCGCUGCCUGGAAGCCGCUCGGCGCGGGGCCAACAACCAGAACGACGCCCCGCCCGCCCUGCGGACUCGCCCGGAGCCUCAGGGCGAAGCCCCAGCCCGGGGCGGUGGACCAGGCAAGAUCCCAGCGGAGACCCCGCUGUCUUCACAUCGGCGCUCCUUGGCCUCCGGGGUCCCCAGGCAGUGCGCACGCGGGCCGAACUGAUGUGGACUUAGGAAGCACAUUCAAAAAGGCUGUGUUGGUGGCUUGGAGAAAAAGAAAACAAGUCAAACAACAUGGAGGGCAGAGCGGGCUGCGUGAGGGAUGAAGGAUUCAGACAUGGCCCUGAGAGUUAACAGACAACCUUAGGUGUUUAUUUCCAGGAUGGCCUCCUUACCAUUUUGGCACCGCCACACUGCCCUCAUCACAAGGACUGUUGUCACCAAAGUGAUGGCUACUGCUGUAUCUCAUCAACACUGAGCUGAUGUUACGUGGAUGGUUCCUUUGCCCAGUCCCCACCAAUAAUACAGAAUUUUCCAUUGUAUCCAUUUGGCGAUGUCAGUGAGGAAGAGCUGAUUUGAGUAAAACAUCUAAGCUCAAAUCAUUUUCUGCAAUCUCUAUCUGGCUUGAAAUUUCAUGUCAGUAUCAGUUUUUAAAAUUUCUUUUCCAUUUUCCUUAUUUAGACUUUGCAGAACAAAGGAUACUUUAUUCUCAAUCUUCCUGGCCCUAAAUAUGAAUCUGAGAAUGCUUGUUUUACGAUGCCUUUGAUUUCUUUCUUAGUCUUUCAAAACAACAAU
Molecule: long non-coding RNA, 818 nt
Filed under: Heterocephalus glaber (naked mole-rat)
Lineage: Eukaryota; Metazoa; Chordata; Mammalia; Rodentia; Bathyergidae
Description: lncRNA (ENSHGLG00000039709.1)
Source: RNAcentral